RNA transcript from Panicum virgatum (switchgrass), 1972 nucleotides. RefSeq lists it as uncharacterized. NCBI's taxonomy places the organism in Eukaryota, Viridiplantae, Streptophyta, Magnoliopsida, Poales, Poaceae. The record is from RefSeq and is a predicted model, not a curated record. The transcript is spliced from 6 exons.
GCCGCCUCCCCUCUCCUCCCCGGCUCCUCGGCACCGCCUCCCCUCGCCUACUCACCUCCUCGCCGCCGCCUUCCUCCCUUUCCUGCUCCCCGCCGUCGCCCUCUCUCUACAUAGGACACCACCCGACCGACUCCCCCACCGUGCUCCUCGUCCCCAUCCGCCGCCGCCGCCGCCUGUGCCACGGGGGCCGCUACCUCGCCGCCCUCUUCCUCCUUGCGCUCGCAGGCUUCCUCCUCAGGCCCGCUGACCCAGAUGUCAGCCUGGGGCAGGGGCGGCGCAAGGUGGCCGAGCAGCACGGGGCGGGAUCAGCUCAGUAGCGGCGGCGCAAAGGGCACAAGAACUCAAACUUAUCCAAGCUGCGGGGUGAGCAAGACGAUGAGGGAAGAUGAUGGUGGCGCGGUCCCUCUCAGCUCUCUCCUCAGAUCUGUUAAGGCGGCGAGGAACCACGACAAGCCCACGUUCGAGCAGGCCCAGGUGCUUCCCCAUGACAACUCUGCUGCGAGCGGCAGUUUCCUUCCCUCCCACCUCAGACUUGCGAACCAUUCAAAUAAGACAUGGGAUCAAAUGACAAAGAGCAUAAUACAAGUUGCUGCUCCAAGAAGAACAAGGGGAGAGAACACAAAUUUCUCUCACGGGUCUUGAUUUCACCCAUCAAUUGCGUCCUGUGAGAGGAAUAUUGAUAACCGAGGCUGCUUGUUUCGAUUUCCUCCUCUAUGACCUGAUCUGAUUGCUUGAUGAUUUAAUUUUCAAUCUUACAGUUCAUACUUCAAAGUUCAUGAUUUUGGUUAAGCGAUUUAAUGCCAGGUUUUUGCAAUGCUUGAAUAGGGUUCCAUGUUAGCUACUUUUGUAGGGAUAAUCCUAUAGGUUUAGUUUGUAGAACUUCUACAUGUGACCUCUACUUCCAUUACGCUCAAGUCACAGAUUGUAAACCGAAAGCGUAACUGUUUUUUUUUGUCAGGCUCAAAACCAUACUAGCAGCCUUUUGUUCCAAACCUCAAACUGUGUUCUUGCUACAUGGAUUUAAAAUGAAAGGAACAACUAGGACAUAGAAUUCAAAUUAUCAAAUGUUUCUUUGUACAAUCAGAGUAAUAAAAGUAUAAAAUUGAUCUCAUGUUGUCAUGAGCUAAGCCAAGAUUUCUGUACUUUGCAGAAUGAAUAAAACACAUACUACAGAGGUAAAUAAUGUUUUCUUUUGUAUUUCUAUUUCUUCCUCUUGCUUCAAAGCUACGAGUUCCGAUUGGGCGGUACAUGUUUAACUGUUUUAGCUGUGGGUUCUGAUUUCCGCUUUCACUAAAUCUUGAAUGAUUGUGCCUCAAGUAUUCAAUUUGUUCUGCAUGUAUAUUAGUUAAAUUAGCCAUACAAGGAAAGUUUGUUAUUUUGGGUGCUCCUGCCCUCUCUAAAUUCCCCCUGCAUAUAUAGUAGUUGGGUACCCUGGAGCUCCUCAAACUAAGCCCCAAGCAUCGCCGCCUGGGAUCUCCAGGAUCGACACACGUCCAUCCUUACCCAGACCGUGCAUAGCUGGCCAUGGCGUUCGUGAUGUAGCCGUAGGAGCAGCCAUCCAUACAGGAAGUACUAAUGUGGUUCUGUUUGGCUCAAUGUGCGGACUACGCUUCAUUUGGAUGGGGCGCGUUCUACACAUCAACAUCAGAGGUGGUGUUCAGAUGAGCAAAAUUCAUUAGCUGGUAUACUGGGCUUCAAGAUUAGGUGACUUUUGAUUUAACUGUGAGUUUUCCUGUCCAUGGAUCAGUAGUAUGCCAACAAGGUGAAGACCUUUGCCUGACACAAACUACAAAUAAGAACGAGCUGAUGCUCUACAAGAAAGCAAUUGUUGGCUGUACCAGCACCAAUUUGGAUUACUCUUUUAAUAAUCUUUGAAAUUAUUGUUAGCUUCAAAAUUUUCCACUGUGGAAAAAUAGCUUGAUGGGAUACUAAUGCAGGGCUAUUUGAGUCUUUUGGUGUACUUUAUUAUUUA